This is a long non-coding RNA of Misgurnus anguillicaudatus (oriental weatherfish), 916 nucleotides long. RefSeq lists it as uncharacterized. The record is from RefSeq and is a predicted model, not a curated record. Lineage: Eukaryota; Metazoa; Chordata; Actinopteri; Cypriniformes; Cobitidae.
CCUCUCGAUCUCAAAGCAGAUUCAACCACACCCAUCAGGCAAGGCAAUGCAACCGAUCGGCUAAUGCCUGCUGACACUGAAAACUACAUCCACUGAAAUGAGGAGCCGCAAAUUGGGUUAUUCAUCUUCACCUGGCGGUAAUCUAGUUGAUAAGCACUAUGUACGUAGAUCUCACGGGGAAUGUGAUUACUGAGAGCAAAGCCCGUGAUGCCUGAAUCACAGUAAAAGGGCCUCUGGUGAUCGCAGGGAUGGACCCCUAACCAACACAUUUGAAUAAGACAAAGAAAACAAGUCGUUUUCAUUUCUCGCAGAUGUUGUGCCUUGUGGCUCUGGUCAGGCUUUGCAUGAGCGAAUGGAAAUGGAGAAAUAAACGCGCUUGUUUUUCUGACUAAUGAGAGGACGCUGAUCCGAGUAGUGCUUGAGUGAGAUAUCAUCUGUUUCUGCUUCAGAGAAACUUGCUCUUUUUCCUUUCUUCCUCUUGCCAUACCUCGAUUGUUUUUCCCCAAGAGUAGUGUGCAUUCACCUGAGAAAUCAAGCCGGCGUAGAGAGCAGUCUGACUGUUGUAAAUAAAGAACAAAAGCUAAAGAGAUUCGGCUGUCCGUCAGCCACGGCAGGAUACAACAUUAUCUCACACCAGACUGCCUGGAAGUUGGAGCUCAUCCCCGGGGAAGCAGUCCAGUCACUUUGAAAGGAUGUCAAAGCUAAACGUGAAGAUCCGCUCCAUCACGCCUGCAUUGAGAGUACAGCGGGAUUGUUUGAAGUCCACUGAAUCACUGACGAUAAGCCUGAAGUCAAAGCAGAAACUCUCUACUGUACCCGCUUUUGUACUUUGUGUUCUUUCGUAAAGUACUUCAGGUACCUCCUCUGUAUCUUUACAUUAUUGUUUUUAAUAAACGUACAGUGAGGUGGGCUGAAA